Neltuma alba is the source of this 1454-nucleotide long non-coding RNA. RefSeq lists it as uncharacterized. The transcript is spliced from 2 exons. Lineage: Eukaryota; Viridiplantae; Streptophyta; Magnoliopsida; Fabales; Fabaceae. The record is from RefSeq and is a predicted model, not a curated record.
UUCUCUUUGUACAAAGCAAUUUCAUCACUCACUCAAGGCACACUCACAAUGGCAAGCUAUUUCACAAAACUGAAGGAGCUAUGGGAUAAACUUUUAGUGUUGGUUCCUCUUCCUACAUGCAAGUGUUCUACUGCCUAAGAGUAUAAUAAAGUUGUCCAGCAACAAUGUCUAUUUCAAUUCCUUAUGGGACUUAACGCCACCUUUCACCAACCAAGAUCACAGAUACUCCUCAUGACACCAGUCCCUACUGUGUCUCAAGCUUAUUCAAUGAUAUGUCAGGAUAAGGAGCAGCGUAUGAUCUGUUCAUAGAUUCCUACAAAUCCACUUCACACUAUUGCAGCCUCCACUAGAGGUGGUCGUUCUGGUAGAGGCAGAGGUGGAGGUCGGUCUCAAGAAGAAUGUACCCAGUGCCAUAGACGGGGGCAUACUUGUGAUUAAUGUUAUAAGCUUGUUGGGUUUCCCUCCAACUUCAAAGGCAGAAAGGCACAAGCUGCUAACCUGAAUCAUGAACAGGACGAGCAAAAAGAAUCAAAAUCAAGCUCGACAAAUGGUCAACAGUCCAUAACUGAACAACAAUAUAAUCAAAUCUUACAAUUACUGAAGAAGGACUCCAAGGAUGAGACAUUAGGAGCAGCCAAUUAUAUCGAAGAACAUGUGUCUGACUUUUAGCCAAUUUAUGAGCAAUCCAAGAAAAUUAGACAUGGGAGCUGCUGUUCAUGUAGUGAGAUAUUUGAAAAACAGUCCAGGAUUGGGGAUAUUGUUGGCUGCAACUUCCAGAAGAUAUCUAAAGUGUUAUGUGGAUUCUGACUGGGCCACAUGUCAUGAUACAAGAAGAUCAUUAACAGGAUAUGUCAUCAAGUUUGGUGGGUCCCCCAUAUGUUGGAAGUCAAAGAAAUAACAUACCGUGUCAAGGUCUUUAGUAGAAGCAGAGUAUCGGGCUAUGGGUAUAGCUGUUUCAGAAAUAACUUUGUUGACUCAGAUGUUAGGAGAUCUGGGAGUGAAAGGACUUGAACCGGUUAAAGUAUAUUGUGAUAGCAAGGCUGCCAUCUAUAUUGCCACUGACCCUGUCUUCCAUGAACAGACAAAGCACAUCAAAAUUGACUGUCAUUUUGUUCGGGAGAAGUUGCAACAAGGGCUUAUCAACUUGGAACAUGUUAGCUCUAAAGAUCAGCUUGUUGAUGUGCUCACUAAAGCACUUGGAAGAGAAGAUCAUAGCAGGUUGAUAGGCAAAUUGGGAACCAUUAAUCUUUAUGGUCCCCAACUUGAUGGGGGGUGUUAGAGUUAUAGAUAUUGAGUUAAUGUAUUAGUGUUUUGUAGUCUGUAUAAGUUUGCGGUUUGGAUUGGGCCAGUGUAGGCCCAAAGCCCAAAUAGUCUUCUUAUUGUGUGUCAAAGCAAUGUACUGUGUAUAUAUAUUUUCUUGAGUUAUCAAUAAAGUGUGAGCUUUUCUCCCAGCA